Long non-coding RNA from Dermacentor andersoni, 2803 nucleotides. RefSeq lists it as uncharacterized. NCBI's taxonomy places the organism in Eukaryota, Metazoa, Arthropoda, Arachnida, Ixodida, Ixodidae. The record is from RefSeq and is a predicted model, not a curated record.
UCAUUGAAUAGAUGUUGUGAGUAUUUGUGGAGCCUCUAGAAAGUCCUGCAUCGAUGCGUGUGUGUCUCUGUAUACGCGCCAUCUCUGGAGUGUGUGCAAAGUUCUUGGCCUCGGUCCAAAAUUUGCCCAAGGUACCAGCUGGACUAAACCGGAACUUCCCUGUCCGUCAUAAGUAAAGUGUCCAGAAGAGCCCCGCAAGAAGAUGGUGUGAGGAUGAACUCGGAAGGUUUAGAUGCCCUGUUAUGAUGUAAGCCCCCAACCUUCUAAGUUACCUGUAAAAUGUGUAGUCUUACCUGAAGAGUAAUUCAUUGUGUGUCAUACCAGUUGACAAAGAGGGUGGUUUUGCAGUUUUUUCCUUUAAAUGUUUCUUGGAAAAAGCCAGUCAAGCAAUUUCUGCAGUGUUCAAUGAGCGCAAGGAUGUAUCACUUAUGAAAGUAGCAGCAAAACCAAGUGAAAUUUACAGAAAGUUGAAUCUCGAUAAACUAAGGAAAAGCUCAGAGAUGUAAUUUUUAGUAAGUGCACAAGGAGGAUGUUCCUUUUCGGGUCAUAAUUUCCGAAAGGGGUACCUCCCGUGAACAGUGUGUAACUGUUAAAGGUUGUCAGUCGAACAUACUUCCCGUUGCUUCUGGUGUACCGCAAGGUAGCGUCUUAGGCCCACUCCUAUUUUUGAUCUUUAUUAAUGAUUUACAAAGUAACAUUGAUGUUCCAUUAAGACUUUUUGCAGACGACUGUGUGAUGUACAGUACCGUAAAUACAGUUGAUGAUCAGAUUAAAUUAAAUUUAAACCUGCAAAGAAUAGUGAAAUGGUGUAACGACUGGCAGAUGGAGUUAAACUUUAAGAAGUCUGUGUUCAUGUCAGUAACUAGAAAGAAAAAUGUUCUUGAUUACAAUUAUCAAAUCAACGGUUAUAUGCUUGAAAGAGUCGAUCAGUAUAAAUACCUAGGCAUAACAUUUACAUCAGAUCUACGAUGGAAUACCCACAUUGACAUUGUCAUUUCCAAAGCUUUUAAAACACUAUGGUACCUGCGACGCACUAUGCACAGUGCUACUCCGGAUGUAAAGUGCCUCGCUUACAAAACCCUAGUCAGACCGAUAAUCGAAUAUGCUAAAGUAAUAUGGCAUCCUCACACAGCAACUAAUCGUCACAAGCUUCAUAGGAUUCAGCGACUCGCUGUAAGGUUUAUCUUUAAUAAAUACCGCCGGAACCAUUCUUCAACAGAACUCUGCCAACAAGCCCAACUACCUAUGCUAGAAACCAGAACCAGAUAUGAAAGACUAAAAACUCUUUACCUCAUUAUCAAUAAUCAUCUUAAAAUAAAUAAAUCAGAUUACUUUGAGAUCAAAACUAAUGAAACAUCAAGGCAUCGUCAUAGUAAGUUUAUCCCAUUACCGACUAUAAAAAAUAAUUGUUUCAAGUUUAGUUAUUUUCCCCGAACUUGUAGAGACUGGAACUCUCUACCAGAUUCUGCUGUUCGGUCGACAUCAUUGGCUGAAUUCCUGCGCCACUUAGAAAAUUUCAUCUAUGGCUCUAGCAUAGGGCGAUGAGAUCAGAUUGCUGCUGUAUAAGAUUGCUGUUCUGAUUUCUGAGUGAUGUGUUUUUGUUUAUGUGUGCAUUUCACGAGAUGAUCUUUUCUUCCUUUAACUAAUGUAUAACUAUGGUUUUCAAUAUGUUCUGUACUACUUAUUUUGCUGUUCAGUUCCGUUUUUUUUCCACUCCUGUUAUAGCCCCUCAAUGAGGCUGACAGUAUUAAUAAAUGAAUGAAAAUGAAAAUGAAUGGCAGAAGCAAGCUGCCCUGUACCUGGUUUCAAAGCUGAAUGUUAAAGAGAUUGAUGACCAGUUUCUUGUAAAAGGUUCUGACGAAUCCUUGAUUUCGUUAGGUUUCACGGCAAAAAGGGCUUCAAGGCCUUCUCAGCUAAGGUCAAAGAAUUAUAUUAUUCUAUCCUGCUCAAUGACCUUAUCCAAUGUGUCGAGGAUUGUAUUGACAAAUAUGGCGCUGUAAGGUUUUCACAGGAAGUAGGUUGUUUCAGUAGAAGGGUAUUUAGAAUUAUGGUGUUUUUACAUGUCGUCAACCUUUGCACAGUGGAACAAUAGGCUGAAUCUGCAGAAGAAAGGCAUUUGCAUAGGGUUGUGUCUGGCUCCCGUCUUUAGCAACCUAUAUUUAGCACAAUUAGAUAGGCACAUAUAUGACCACCUCACGGGACUAUCAGUUUUUCAGCGAGCUUUUAGAUUUGUCAACAAUUUUUUUGUGUUUCUGGAUUUCCCUAGUAAUAGUUUUCUAGAAAAAUGUCCUGAUGUCUAAGAUUUCUUGCGAGUGUUUGAGACCUCUUGAAGUGACUUUUGAAGUGCAAUACGUUUCAGUUUCUUGACUUUCAGUUCAUCUUUACUGAUAGUAGGACUUGCUGGGCUUACAGUCCAUGAGCUAAGAAACCCCUUCUCCAAUUUCAUUCAGCCCAUUUGAAUUUGGUGAAGAGGGGCAGAACUAACUAAUAGGGAUGGCUUUCUGCCCACUACUGCGCAUGUGGAUGUAGGCCGAAAUUCAAAAAAUGUUUUAUCGUUGCAAAACACGGAGACCGUGUUACACGUGAGAUAAUCAAAGUGGGAGAAAUUCUAUGUUUAAAGGAUGGUUGCAUCAGCACCCCUCUAUUGCUCUCACUGACAAGGAGAUCAGACACCUCGGGCUAUCACCAUGUUUAAUUUUGUGUGGCUUUGUCGUGGCGUUCUAAGUAUGGUUGGUGGGCUAUUGUGUGACUGUAUAAAUAGCGAUGCUUUCUGAAAAGAAAAUAAACAGUUGGAAGUUCAGCA